CGGCGGACGGGUGAGUAACGCGUGGGUAACCUACCCUGUACACACGGAUAACAUACCGAAAGGUAUGCUAAUACGGGAUAAUAUAUUUGAGAGGCAUCUCUUGAAUAUCAAAGGUGAGCCAGUACAGGAUGGACCCGCGUCUGAUUAGCUAGUUGGUAAGGUAACGGCUUACCAAGGCGACGAUCAGUAGCCGACCUGAGAGGGUGAUCGGCCACAUUGGAACUGAGCACGGUCCAA
Molecule: ribosomal RNA, 237 nt
Filed under: uncultured bacterium
Lineage: Bacteria
Description: partial 16S ribosomal RNA
Rfam family: Bacterial small subunit ribosomal RNA
Source: RNAcentral